ACUCCUACGGGAGGCAGCAGUGGGGAAUAUUGCACAAUGGGCGCAAGCCUGAUGCAGCCAUGCCGCGUGUAUGAAGAAGGCCUUCGGGUUGUAAAGUACUUUCAGCGGGGAGGAAGGCAAUACGGUUAAUAACCGUGUUGAUUGACGUUACCCGCAGAAGAAGCACCGGCUAACUCCGUGCCAGCAGCCGCGGUAAUACGGAGGGUGCAAGCGUUAAUCGGAAUUACUGGGCGUAAAGCGCACGCAGGCGGUCUGUCAAGUCGGAUGUGAAAUCCCCGGGCUCAACCUGGGAACUGCAUUCGAAACUGGCAGGCUUGAGUCUUGUAGAGGGGGGUAGAAUUCCAGGUGUAGCGGUGAAAUGCGUAGAGAUCUGGAGGAAUACCGGUGGCGAAGGCGGCCCCCUGGACAAAGACUGACGCUCAGGUGCGAAAGCGUGGGGAGCAAACAGGAUUAGAAACCCGUGUAGUCCCAUGA
This 474-nucleotide ribosomal RNA is filed under the name uncultured organism. RNAcentral's name for it is "partial 16S ribosomal RNA". It matches the Rfam family "Bacterial small subunit ribosomal RNA", at positions 335 to 800 of the family's 1533-position model. The record is from RNAcentral.